CCUACGGGAGGCAGCAGUCGAGAAUCAUUCACAAUGGGGGAAACCCUGAUGGUGCGACGCCGCGUGGGGGAAUGAAGGUCUUCGGAUUGUACACCCCUGUCAUGUGGGAGCAAAUUAAAAAGAUAGUACCACAAGAGGAAGAGACGGCUAACUCUGUGCCAGCAGCCGCGGUAAUACAGAGGUCUCAAGCGUUGUUGGGAAUCACUGGGCGUAAAGCGUGCGUAGGCUGUUUCGUAAGUCGUGUGUGAAAGGCGGGGGCGCAACCAGCGGACGGCACAUGAUACUGCGAGACUAGAGUAAUGGAGGGGGAACCGGAAUUCUCGGUGUAGCAGUGAAAUGCGUAGAUAUCGAGAGGAACACUCGUGGCGAAGGCGGGUUCCUGGACAUUAACUGACGCUGAGGCACGAAGGCCAGGGGAGCGAAAGGGAUUAGAUACCCCAGUAGUC
This 446-nucleotide ribosomal RNA is filed under the name uncultured bacterium. RNAcentral's name for it is "partial 16S ribosomal RNA". It matches the Rfam family "Bacterial small subunit ribosomal RNA", at positions 338 to 795 of the family's 1533-position model. The record is from RNAcentral.